AUUGAACGCUGGCGGCAUGCUUUACACAUGCAAGUCGAACGGUAACAGGCCGCAAGGUGCUGACGAGUGGCGAACGGGUGAGUAAUGCAUCGGAACGUGCCCAGUCGUGGGGGAUAACGCAGCGAAAGCUGUGCUAAUACCGCAUACGAUCUCUGGAUGAAAGCGGGGGACCUUCGGGCCUCGCGCGAUUGGAGCGGCCGAUGUCAGAUUAGGUAGUUGGUGGGGUAAAGGCUCACCAAGCCAACGAUCUGUAGCUGGUCUGAGAGGACGACCAGCCACACUGGGACUGAGACACGGCCCAGACUCCUACGGGUGGCUG
RNAcentral lists this ribosomal RNA (319 nucleotides) under uncultured Pseudomonadota bacterium. RNAcentral describes it as "bacterial SSU rRNA". It matches the Rfam family "Bacterial small subunit ribosomal RNA", at positions 30 to 351 of the family's 1533-position model. The record is from RNAcentral. Lineage: Bacteria; Pseudomonadati; Pseudomonadota.